GGGAGACUUUCAAAAGAGAUGGAACACAUGGAAGGAUGAGCAAUCAAUGUCAUCUAUCAACAAAGUUGAUAAUAAGGUUCAUCGUCUAAGAGUUUACUCUGUUGGGUGGGGUGCCACAGUAAUAACAGAUAAAACACAACUGUGGAACAUGGUGAAAAGAGAAAUAUUAUCUCAAAGGACGACUAGGAAUAUCCAAAAUGUUGCAGCAAGUAUUAGUAACCAUUCACAAAAAUCUUUUAAAUUAAAGCAAGACAUCUUCAU
Long non-coding RNA from Trifolium pratense (red clover), 261 nucleotides. RefSeq lists it as uncharacterized. Lineage: Eukaryota; Viridiplantae; Streptophyta; Magnoliopsida; Fabales; Fabaceae. The transcript has 3 exons. The record is from RefSeq and is a predicted model, not a curated record.